UGGGGAAUAUUGGACAAUGGGCGAAAGCCUGAUCCAGCCAUGCCGCGUGUGUGAAGAAGGUCUUCGGAUUGUAAAGCACUUUAAGUUGGGAGGAAGGGCAUUAACCUAAUACGUUAGUGUUUUGACGUUACCGACAGAAUAAGCACCGGCUAACUCUGUGCCAGCAGCCGCGGUAAUACAGAGGGUGCAAGCGUUAAUCGGAAUUACUGGGCGUAAAGCGCGCGUAGUUGGUUCGUUAAGUUGGAUGUGAAAUCCCCGGGCUCAACCUGGGAACUGCAUUCAAAACUGACUGACUAGAGUAUGGUAGAGGGUGGUGGAAUUUCCUGUGUAGCGGUGAAAUGCGUAGAUAUAGGAAGGAACACCAGUGGCGAAGGCGACCACCUGGACUAAUACUGACACUGAGGUGCGAAAGCGUGGGGAGCAAACA
RNAcentral lists this ribosomal RNA (427 nucleotides) under uncultured bacterium. Its description in RNAcentral is "partial 16S ribosomal RNA". It matches the Rfam family "Bacterial small subunit ribosomal RNA", at positions 355 to 774 of the family's 1533-position model. The record is from RNAcentral.